GUGAGGAAUAUUGCGCAAUGGAGGCAACUCUGACGCAGCCAUGCCGCGUGCAGGAAGAAGGCGCUACGCGUUGUAAACUGCUUUUAACCGGGAAGAAACCCCAGGACGUGUCCUGGGUUGACGGUACCGGAGGAAUAAGCACCGGCUAACUUCGUGCCAGCAGCCGCGGUAAUACGAAGGGUGCAAGCGUUAUCCGGUUUCAUUGGGUUUAAAGGGUGCGUAGGCGGAGCGUUAAGUCAGUGGUGAAAUCCUGCAGCUUAACUGUAGACUUGCCAUUGAUACUGGCGCUCUUGAGUGCGCUUGAAGUGGGCGGAAUGUGCCGUGUAGCGGUGAAAUGCUUAGAUAUGGCACAGAACACCAAUUGCGAAGGCAGCUCACUAAGGCGAUACUGACGCUGAGGCACGAAAGCGUGGGGAUCGAACAGGAUUAGAAACCCGUGUAGUCC
This 445-nucleotide ribosomal RNA is filed under the name uncultured bacterium. Its description in RNAcentral is "partial 16S ribosomal RNA". It matches the Rfam family "Bacterial small subunit ribosomal RNA", at positions 354 to 796 of the family's 1533-position model. The record is from RNAcentral.